This 518-nucleotide ribosomal RNA is filed under the name uncultured bacterium. Its description in RNAcentral is "bacterial SSU rRNA". It matches the Rfam family "Bacterial small subunit ribosomal RNA", at positions 372 to 881 of the family's 1533-position model. The record is from RNAcentral.
UGGGCGAAAGCCUGACCCAGCAACGCCGCGUGAAGGAUGAAAUCCCUCGGGAUGUAAACUUCGCAAGAAUGGGAAGAAUUAGUAGGGGUUAAUACCCUCUAUGAUGACGGUACCAUUUGUAAGCUCCGGCUAACUCCGUGCCAGCAGCCGCGGUAAUACGGGGGGAGCAAGCGUUGUUCGGAUUUACUGGGCGUAAAGGGCGCGUAGGCGGUCAGCACAAGUCAGUUGUGAAAUCUCCGGGCUUAACUCGGAAAGGUCAACUGAUACUGUGCGACUAGAGUGCGGAAGGGGCAACUGGAAUUCUCGGUGUAGCGGUGAAAUGCGUAGAUAUCGAGAGGAACACCUGCGGCGAAGGCGGGUUGCUGGGCCGACACUGACGCUGAUGCGCGAAAGCCAGGGGAGCGAACGGGAUUAGAUACCCCGGUAGUCCUGGCCUUAAACGAUGGAUGCUUGGUGUCUGGAGUUUUAUAGUCUCCGGGUGCCGCAGCUAACGCGUUAAGCAUCCCGCCUGGGGGAGU